Molecule: ribosomal RNA, 391 nt
Filed under: uncultured bacterium
Lineage: Bacteria
Description: bacterial SSU rRNA
Rfam family: Bacterial small subunit ribosomal RNA
Source: RNAcentral
GACGAACGCUGGCGGCGUGCUUAACACAUGCAAGUCGAGCGGUAAGGCCCUUUCGGGGGUACACGAGCGGCGAACGGGUGAGUAACACGUGGGUGACCUGCCCUCAGCUCUGGGAUAAGCCUGGGAAACCGGGUCUAAUACUGGAUAUGACUCCAUGACGCAUGUUGUGGGGUGGAAAGCCUUGUGCGGCUGAGGAUGGGCCCGCGGCCUAUCAGCUUGUUGGUGGGGUGAGGCCUACCAAGGCGACGACGGGUAGCCGGCCUGAGAGGGCGACCGGCCACACUGGGACUGAGACACGGCCCAGACUCCUACGGGAGGCAGCAGUGGGGAAUCUUGCGCAAUGGGCGAAAAGCCUGACGCAGCGACGCCGCGUGAGGGAUGACGGCCUCGG